UCCUUGAUGGCUCAGUUGGUAAAGAAUCUGCCUGCAAUGCAGGAGACCUGGGUUUAAUUCCUGGAUAGGGAA
Molecule: transfer RNA, 72 nt
Filed under: Capra hircus (goat)
Lineage: Eukaryota; Metazoa; Chordata; Mammalia; Artiodactyla; Bovidae
Also listed under: 1 other name
Rfam family: tRNA
About the family: Transfer RNA (tRNA) molecules are approximately 80 nucleotides in length. Their secondary structure includes four short double-helical elements and three loops (D, anti-codon, and T loops). Further hydrogen bonds mediate the characteristic L-shaped molecular structure. tRNAs have two regions of fundamental functional importance: the anti-codon, which is responsible for specific mRNA codon recognition, and the 3' end, to which the tRNAs corresponding amino acid is attached (by aminoacyl-tRNA synthetases). tRNAs cope with the degeneracy of the genetic code in two manners: having more than one tRNA (with a specific anti-codon) for a particular amino acid; and 'wobble' base-pairing, i.e. permitting non-standard base-pairing at the 3rd anti-codon position.
Source: Rfam by way of RNAcentral